CGGCAUGUGGACAUGUCUGCUCCUCUUUGCUUGGGGAGUGGAAUGUAUCCAUAACAUGCUACAGUGAUGAAGGAGCUCUCAGGGCUGCCAACCUUACAGCAGAGGUUGAGUAGUAGUAUAGUGCGCCGACAUUC
Arvicanthis niloticus (Nile rat) is the source of this 134-nucleotide non-coding RNA. The record is from RefSeq and is a predicted model, not a curated record. NCBI's taxonomy places the organism in Eukaryota, Metazoa, Chordata, Mammalia, Rodentia, Muridae.